RNAcentral lists this ribosomal RNA (258 nucleotides) under uncultured bacterium. Its description in RNAcentral is "partial 16S ribosomal RNA". It matches the Rfam family "Bacterial small subunit ribosomal RNA", at positions 524 to 776 of the family's 1533-position model. The record is from RNAcentral.
UACGAGGGGUCCUAGCGUUGUUCGGAAUCAUUGGGCGUAAAGGGUGUGUAGGUGGCUAUGUAAGUCAGGUGUGAAAAGCCCCCGGGCUCAACCCGGGAAGUGCAUCUGAUACUGCGUAGCUUGAGUACCGAAGAGGAUAGUGGAAUUCCAGGUGUAGUGGUGAAAAUACGUAGAUAUCUGGAGGAACACCGGUGGCGAAGGCGGCUAUCUGGUCGAGUACUGACACUGAGACACGAAAAGCAUGGGGAUCAAAACAGG